This 252-nucleotide long non-coding RNA is filed under the name Apteryx rowi (Okarito brown kiwi). Its description in RNAcentral is "lncRNA (ENSARWG00000008856.1)". The record is from RNAcentral. Lineage: Eukaryota; Metazoa; Chordata; Aves; Apterygiformes; Apterygidae.
GGAAAUUCCAAUUUUUGAGGAGCCUCUGGUGAAUCAGUUAGAAGAAAGGUAUACAAGGAGCAUAAAGAAGGUAUAAAAGGACUAUGAAAGAAGACUAGCUCAGGCAUCUGCAUUUCAUGAGCUGAAAAAAAGACUUGUGUCAUGCUCCCAAGGAAGUAAAAAGGGUCAUGAAACGAAGACAAAAGCUACUGAAAAGCUUUUUGAAACCAUGUCAUUAAAAGUAAACCGAAAUCAUUCAGAUCUGGAUAAAUG